GUCCUACGGGGGGCAGCAGUGGGGAAUAUUGCACAAUGGGCGCAAGCCUGAUGGAGCAACGCCGCGUGAGUGAAGAAGGGUUUCGGCUCGUAAAGCUCUGUUGGUAGUGAAGAAAGAUAGAGGUAGUAACUGGCCUUUAUUUGACGGUAAUUACUUAGAAAGUCACGGCUAACUACGUGCCAGCAGCCGCGGUAAUACGUAGGUGGCAAGCGUUGUCCGGAUUUAUUGGGCGUAAAGCGAGUGCAGGCGG
This 250-nucleotide ribosomal RNA is filed under the name uncultured bacterium. RNAcentral's name for it is "partial 16S ribosomal RNA". It matches the Rfam family "Bacterial small subunit ribosomal RNA", at positions 335 to 578 of the family's 1533-position model. The record is from RNAcentral.